UCACUAAGCAACAAGGAAAGAGAAACACUCGGAUUCAAAAUAAACAGCAUACACGUCCGAACAUUCACAAGUGAACGUACCUGACGUCACCAUGUUCGAUGUGAUAGCCUCCUGCUGAAUCAGGGUGAAGAUCCGAGCUAAAGCUAACGGAACUUCCCUCGGGAACCUGCUAAUGGAAAGGCCAACCCUUUCCUCUGCCUCAACCACCACCUAAUCCCAGACUAAACUGAAAUCUCCUCCUGAACGUACACUUAUUCGUACUCUUUUCUUUCUCU
RNAcentral lists this long non-coding RNA (275 nucleotides) under Manihot esculenta (cassava). Its description in RNAcentral is "long non-coding RNA (MESC_LNC003345)". Lineage: Eukaryota; Viridiplantae; Streptophyta; Magnoliopsida; Malpighiales; Euphorbiaceae. The record is from RNAcentral.